GACGAACGCUGGCGGCGUGCCUAACACAUGCAAGUCGAACGAGGUCCAUCCUUCGGGAGAAGACCUAGUGGCGAACGGGUGAGUAACACGUGAGAAACCUGCCCCGAAGACCGGGAUAACUCUCCGAAAGGAGUGCUAAUACCGGAUACCCCCACCGAGCCGCAUGGUUUGGUGAGGAAAUGGAUUCCGCUUCGGGAGGGUCUCGCGGCCUAUCAGCUAGUUGGUGGGUAACGGCCCACCAAGGCAUCGACGGGUAGCUGGUCUGAGAGGACGAUCAGCCACACUGGGACUGAGACACGGCCCAGACUCCUACGGGAGGCAGCAGUGGGGAAUCUUGCGCAAUGGGCGAAAGCCUGACGCAGCAACGCCGCGUGGGGGAUGAAGGCUCUCGGGUUGUAAACCCCUUUCAGCAGGGACGAACUAAGACGGUACCUGCAGAAGAAGCUCCGGCUAACUACGUGCCAGCCGCCGCAGUAAAAC
This 480-nucleotide ribosomal RNA is filed under the name uncultured bacterium. RNAcentral describes it as "bacterial SSU rRNA". It matches the Rfam family "Bacterial small subunit ribosomal RNA", at positions 28 to 526 of the family's 1533-position model. The record is from RNAcentral.